Non-coding RNA from Hyposmocoma kahamanoa, 73 nucleotides. The record is from the annotation of a RefSeq genome assembly. NCBI's taxonomy places the organism in Eukaryota, Metazoa, Arthropoda, Insecta, Lepidoptera, Cosmopterigidae.
UGACCUGUAGCUCAGUUGGUUAGAGCUGCGCUACGGAACAGCGUGGUCAUGGGUUCAAGUCCCAUCGGGUCAA